Molecule: long non-coding RNA, 466 nt
Organism: Esox lucius (northern pike)
Lineage: Eukaryota; Metazoa; Chordata; Actinopteri; Esociformes; Esocidae
Source: Ensembl
CCAAAUAUGUGUGAUGGAACUGGAAGACUCACAAUAUCAGUGGAGCCAAUACUUCUUGAGUUAAAGAAGGUUCUCAUUCGCCACAGUACAUCCCUAUUGUUGUGGGAGUGUCUGUGGGAGUGUCUUUGGCAGUGUCGGUGUGUGUCCUUGUCGCUGUCAUCAUAUUAUGCAGGAGAACCACCAAUAUCAGCCUUGGUCUGAAUACAAUGAACCACCCCACCCCACCAGACAACGAAGACAGGAGUCAACCUGCUGGCAGUAUCACCUAUGCCUCCAUCAACUACAUAAACCAAUAUUCCCCCAAGAGAGUUGUCGCCCAUGAGGAUGCAGUGACCUAUGCCUCAGUUAUGACCUCUACUGACAGAGGAAGAGAAACAGAGAACCCUGCUGACCCCAACUCCCUCUAUUCUACUGUCAAUAAACAUCAGGGAGUUCAGCCAUAUGAGCAACAGUCAUUAAUUUAAAC